RNAcentral lists this non-coding RNA (21 nucleotides) under Arabidopsis thaliana (thale cress). Lineage: Eukaryota; Viridiplantae; Streptophyta; Magnoliopsida; Brassicales; Brassicaceae. The record is from RNAcentral.
UAUGGGUCUAAGGUUUUGCGU